AUUUUCUUUCCGGCUAACUUCAGAAGAAAAAGAGAGCUCGAGAGAAAAUGGCUUCUAGUUUGGAAGAGGCCAUCUUGCAAGCUGAGCAAGUGUUACAGUCAGUUGAAAGGAAACCCAAAUUUAAAAACACUGGUUCAAAUAAAUGGAAAUCAAUACAUCAACGUCUUCAGGAGCUAUAUGUUGAAGAAUGUAACAAGGAAUCAAGUGAUACAAGUGUGAAGAGUAGUACCCAUCUGCUUGAUAAGCUAGCCAAGAGAGAUAAACUCACAUGUCUGGUGGUUAAUCUGUUCCCUGGCAACCAAGGUUUCUCAUUAAUGCUCAGAGGCAAAGAUGGCAUAGACACAGAGACAUUGAAGUUACCUUAUGAUGAAUCAGACUUCUUGGAUUAUCUUGAUGCUGAAGAGCUUCCUCCGUUACUAGUGGAGCUCCUUGAUAAAGCUGAUACAAACAUCUUCUACAGCGGCUGCGUAGUGACUGAAAUAAGAGACUAUCGGCAGUCAGCUACUGGUCAGACAUAUCACUCCAAGCACAUACUACUCAGACCUACACCACAGACAUUGGCAUAUGAUAUCAAUUCAAUUACAAGUAAUGAUCCACGAUGGAGCAUGGAUGAUAAGUUAGCUCUUGAGAGUCAACUUCUGUUAACCACUCAAGAACCUCUAUGUCUUGAUCCAUCGGUAGCAGUAGCCUGUACUGAGAAUAUAAUACAUCAAGAGAAACAUAGACUCAAUACAAGACCUCUCAAAAAGUGUAUGAAGAGAUAUUCUCAGAUUGCCCGUAACCGCCGAGCUACUUUUAAGUCCUUCCCAGCACCACCUGGUCUCAGGCUUCAUGACUUCCUUGCUAAGAAGAAAGAAAGGGCACCCCCUCCUAAGGUCAAUCUCAAAGUUGGCAAACCGUGUGUUGACAUGUGGAAGCAGAGAGAUUUAGACCUUUCUGUACCCGAUAGCGUUCCUGUUUCCCAAUUUGCAAGCCAUUCAGAUAGACCAAGAGAAAGAAGUAGUGGUGGGGUUAUACCGGUUGAGGAGGUGAUCUUGGAGACUGAGAGAGGGAAUGGACGUCUGCAGCAUGUCAGAGUUACUAUACAGCAACGUCAGCUUGAUCAAACAUAUCAAGGAGAGCAGUAUAUUGAUAGGAAUUACAACCCUAAUGAUCCACAGCAUCCUAGAACUAAUGCAAACUUUACCAAGUUCUAUCUUGGCUCAUUACAAAACGCGCAAAGGUAUCUAAAACAAUUAACUGAAAGCCUGUCAUUGGAGACGAGACAACCGGUGAAGAUAUCCCGGGUCAUGGCAGGUCAACCUCCUCAGCUGAUACAGAACCCUGCUUACCAAUCACACCAACAACAGGGUUCUAGGGGAUCCACUCAGCAGCAGCAGCAGCAGCAGGGGGGUACGACAGGUGCAGGAGGGGGUGGUGAUGCAGGUGCAUCGGUAUCAGCCCAAGGGGGCCGUACUACUACUACUGGUGGCAGUGCUAGCAUGGAUGCUAGUAACUUGCAGCAGAAUAAUAAUAGUAACAAUCAGAUGGGAGCAGGGGGUGACAUGGCUCCAUUAGAUGCCAAGCAAUCUCUGAAACUUCAGCUUCCUUUGAAUGCAGCUGCUGCCGUUAAUAUGAACAACACUCUCUCAAACCAGCUCUCACAGUCUGGAUUAGCAGGUACAAUGAAUUCCCAAGGUCAAAUCAUUCAGAUCACAGGAAAUCAACAAAGUCAGCUACAAGGUCAGGUACAAGGUCAAACACAAGGUCAAACAGCAGGGUCAAACGUUGCUGUCCCUAGCCCACGCUUGCCUGGUAUGGGCAGACAACCGCCUGCAUAUCUCAAUAGGGCAAACAAUAACAACAAUGCUCAGCAGGAAAUACUCCCUUCUCCUGUUGUUACACCUACAUCUAUGCCAUCAACACCUCCUGUGUCCAUGUUUAGUGCCAGUGUAGGGGCACAGCUUCGACAAUUGAGGGCGCCCUUGUCUAACCCUCAGCAGCCCCAGAGGCCUGUUGCUACCUCUCGUCCUCUCCCUCCAAUCCUUGGGCGUCGUUCGUCUGGUUUAGACGCCCGUCAGGUUCUGGCUGCGGCUGCUCAUUCAGCUAAUCUCCCAGGUUCUAUGGGACCUCCUCCUACACCCCCACCCUCAACCACACCUUCCCUUCAACCAUCUGUUACCCCUCCACCGGUCCAGGGUAGGACUAAUACCCCCUCUCCUCUUGGAACUGGAUCAGUGACAUCUACCAAUCAGAUGGCUAUGACAAUUGCUAUGGCACUGGUCAACUCUCAACAAGGAGGAAUUCCUCAAUCAGGGAACACUAGUAAUAUCAUCAACACUCCUAUCGGUGUCAUGACAACCCUCCCUGGUUUCUCACCCCAUCAGACCGGUGGAAUGAUACAGCUAUCAUCCUCCUCGGCUAACUCUAACAAUGAUGUCAUCACAGUGGUAUCCUCAGGGAUUUCCCCAGCUACGACAUCACAGUCUGGUGUUAUCCAAGCUCCUGCUAAUGUCUUAACCGGACCAAUCAACAUCAUCAGUGGUGGUCAAGGUCUUAUAGGUACGGGAGGUCAAGCUGUGAUAGCCAAUGCUCAAGGUCAAGGGAAUAACCAGCUGACUCCAGCCAAGCUAGCCCAGCUGAUGACAAUGAACCUAAAGAAUACAACAUUGAGAGCUGCAGCAGCACAGACAGCUGGACCAGGGGGAGGAGCUGGAGCAGGAGGCAGUGCUGCAGGAGGAGCAGGAAACAAUCAAGCUCAGCAAAUAUCUCUCCUUCAGGGCCAACAACAGUUGCUCUACAACACUGCCAUUCAACAACGCCAAAUAAAUCCAGCAACUCUUCAACAACUGCAGCAACAGUUACAGCAUUUAGCAGCACAGAAUCAACAGCAGCAGCAACAACAGCAGCAACAGCAGCAGCUCUCAGGGUCACAAGGCCAGGCUACAUUCCAACAGCUAACUGCAUUACAGAAGCAGCAGCAAGCCCAAGCCGCUUUCCAGAAGCAACACCUUCUCAGACAACAGCAGCAGCAGCUCCAACAAUUACAACAGCAACAACAACAACAGCAGCAGCAACAACAACAGCAGCAGCAACAGCAGUUGUUGAAAGGAAAAGGUAAAAAGCAACGAGCAACACCUACUCCUCCACAAUGAAAUCUUAGACUAUAUUUAUACAAAGAGCCUGAACCUUAUUAUGUACUUUUAACUUCUAUACUUCAUUUAUAUGUGCACAGCCCAAUGCAAGUAAUGUAGAUGAAUUUUAUCAAAGCUACACUCUCUCAGUGGAUAUUUUUUUUGCAAGACAGAGCAAACUCAAUACAAAUAGGCACCUUGAUCCUUAUUUGUAUAUUUGUACUCAUAAAAUUUAACAGUGCCAGUCAGUUUUACUCAAUAGGCAUUUAGAGAGAAUGUGUUAAGGCCUCAUCUAUCAAGUAUAUGACUGGUAUCUUCUGAAAUACAAGAUGAUUUACCCUGAAUUUCUACAGCAGCAAAAUCACAGAUCACUUGGCCCAUGUUUUUUUUACCAUGUCCUUCAAAUUUGUAUGCCUCCAUGAAAGAUCAUAGAACUGAGUGAUAUUGUCCUAUGGAGGCUGACAUGUGACCAGUUCAAAGUGACAAUAAUGGUUACAAUAUUGAGCACGGAUAUCACCCUGUUGUAAUAUCUGGGCCUUGUCUUACAAAGAGUUGCGAUUUAUCUGAUCAAUUGUAAUUAUGGAUGGCCAGCAACGUCAACAUCUGUAAUGCA
Molecule: unclassified non-coding RNA, 3726 nt
Filed under: Lytechinus variegatus (green sea urchin)
Lineage: Eukaryota; Metazoa; Echinodermata; Echinoidea; Temnopleuroida; Toxopneustidae
Description: transcription factor SPT20 homolog, transcript variant X3
Source: RNAcentral